Hibiscus syriacus is the source of this 198-nucleotide long non-coding RNA. RefSeq lists it as uncharacterized. The transcript has 3 exons. The record is from RefSeq and is a predicted model, not a curated record. NCBI's taxonomy places the organism in Eukaryota, Viridiplantae, Streptophyta, Magnoliopsida, Malvales, Malvaceae.
UUCUCGUGCAACAAGUUGACAGGGGAGAUUCCCCACCAAGUGAACAAGUUCCAAAACAUCUUUGCUUUGAAUCUAUCUCACAAUAGUUUGAGAGGAUCAAUCCCACCAGCAUUUUCGAUCUGAAGCAAAUCGAGAGCCUCGAUCUUUCCCACAACAACUUGAGUGGUACAAUCCCUCCACAAUUCCUGGGGUUACAUA